Molecule: microRNA precursor, 92 nt
Filed under: Microtus ochrogaster (prairie vole)
Lineage: Eukaryota; Metazoa; Chordata; Mammalia; Rodentia; Cricetidae
Description: miRNA (ENSMOCG00000007277.1)
Source: RNAcentral
CAUGUGUGCAUUGUGGUAUAUGCCUGUGCACAUACACUUGCAUGUACAUAUGCACAUGCUCACACACAUACACACGCAAACACACAAAAAUA